Molecule: unclassified non-coding RNA, 725 nt
Filed under: Hevea brasiliensis (rubber tree)
Lineage: Eukaryota; Viridiplantae; Streptophyta; Magnoliopsida; Malpighiales; Euphorbiaceae
Source: RNAcentral
CGAACUCAUCCUGAUCUUGCUGGUACUUAGUUACAGUUUUCUUGAUGAUCUUUCAUUAUUGCUUUUAGGUUUUCUGCCUGCUUGCUUUGUUUUUCUGGAUUUUGAACGUUUUAACUUAUUUUUGCUUCCGAUUCAUGUAUAUUUAUUUUACCACUAUACUGUUAACAUUUGUGCUUGCUUCUAUCUAUCUGUUUCUGUGCAUGGGCAUGUGUGCACAUGAUGGUAAACGUCCCAUUUUAUUGCAACUAUUAAGGGGAAAAAAAUUAAUAGAUCACAAUCCUGACUUUUGUGCUUUUACUCUAGUAAACUAACUAGAGAUUUGCCAAGUACGUAGUUUGAAAGGUCACUUGUGUAUGCUUACAACAGCAUCUAAUAGUGUCAGUGGGUAUAAUUAAAGAAUUACAAAUAAAGUAUGCACCUGAAGUUUUCUUUCCUGUUUGUUUUGUUUCAAAAGUUUCGUUGUGCUUUCUAAUUUUUACGAGUACAUGUAAUCUUUUCCUACUUGACCCUUGUGUAUGAAUUAUGUUUCAGUGCUUGACACUGUAAACCAGUAGAUUAUUGAUAUUAAUUUCAUCCGUGUGGCAAGUGGUACUAUUCAAUUUUUGCUCCAUGACUCUAAAUUGUGUGUUCCAGGACUGAAGGGACAGUCUAAUAAGAGGCUUAUUUCUAUGAAUGAAGUUAAACAACAUCAAAGUGAAGGGUCCAUGUGGACUGUUCUAAAAGGC